Non-coding RNA from Punica granatum (pomegranate), 1802 nucleotides. The record is from RefSeq and is a predicted model, not a curated record. Lineage: Eukaryota; Viridiplantae; Streptophyta; Magnoliopsida; Myrtales; Lythraceae.
GAGAAGAGUACCCGCAAGCAAAGAUUCUUUGGUACACUCUACCCAGUAAUGAUCAGUUUCUGUCUCCAAAAAUUCAUCCGCUCCGCCAUUGCAUUGCCCCUCCGCCGGACUUCAGCUCCCCCAUUGCUCGCAAAUCCUCGUCGUCGUCUCCGCAAUUCCAUUCGUCGCGGUUCCCACGCGGGGACUCGGGUCGAGAUGGACGAAAAUGUGCCGGCAAAGGCUUCCAUUAACAUGGUCGUUGGUGACCGGGAUUUGCUUGAGAAGAAGAUUGCUGCCAUUCGCAUGGCUGGCCCUCAGAAGCUCCAGGUGAUUGCAGAUUUUGAUGCAACUUUGACCAGAUACUGGGUUGAUGGCCUCCGGGGGAAUUCCAGUCAUGGCCUUCUGCAACAGGGUAACCCCAAAUAUGAUGCCAAGAGGCAGCAACUGUAUGAGUAUUACCAUCCAUUGGAAUAUUCCCCCACAAUUCCCAUUGAUGAGAAGACAAAGCUCAUGGAAGAAUGGUGGGAAAAGACGCAUGGCCUUCUUGUCGAGGGUGGCUUAACAUAUGAUGCCAUCCAAAAGUCGGUUGCUAAUGCUAGAAUUGCUUUUAGGGAUGGUGUGGUUGAACUCUUUGAGCUUCUUGCGAAGAAAGGUAUCCCGGUUCUUAUAUUUUCUGCAGGGCUGGCAGAUGUAAUAGAAGAGGUCUUGAGGCAGAAACUUCACAGAUCUUUUACAAACAUUAGAAUUGUGUCCAACAGAAUGGUUUUUGAUGAUGACGGUCGCCUCGUAUCUUUCAAAGGGAGGACUAUUCACAGUCUAAACAAAAACGAGCAUGCUCUUGAUAUGGCUGCUCCUCUUCAUGACACAUUGGGUGAUAAUGAUGGUCCUGUUAAUGAUAAUGCUUCUGUAAAGAUGAGAACCAAUGUCCUGCUCCUUGGUGAUCACAUUGGAGACUUAAGGAUGUCUGAUGGUUUGAAUUAUGACACUCGAAUAUCUGUGGGCUUUUUGAAUGAUAACAUUGAAGGCUCAAUUGAUUGCUAUUCUAAAUCCUUUGAUGUGGUUUAUUUGAAUGAUGCUCCCAUGUCGGGGGUAGUGGAACUUGUUGCUCAGCUUUUUCCCACAGAAUGAAACUGAAUGCAGCAUCAAACUAUUCUUCAGCCAGUCUCGAGUUUUUCUUCUGCUGGAGGCCAUCUCAGGACCUGCAGCCUGUCGGCCCGGAAUCGUUGAAUUCCUACAAAGCGGACAACUCCAGUGAGCCCUAAGCCAUGGAUCCACACACUUCACAUGAUAGAAGUGGCCACACUCUGGAAGCAACCUUAGCAGAUCAGAUGACCUAAAAUCCCCCAGACAUAUGGAACAAGAUGAUGAACUUCCGGACUUACCCAUCUGGUGUUUCAUGCGGGAGUAUGGAAUCUGCGGGUACCUUAACAAUGUCGCUAGAAUGAUUCCCUCUGGGAUUGAGACUACCAUCCGCUGAUUGGACUGAGAGCGAUUAGCUCGGCGAUAGAAUUGGACACAGAGUGAGCACACAAUGAAGAUCGCUGCGGUUACUCCCAUGAAGCAAUUGACAGGAUACAGCUUGUGGGAGGCAAACAAAUGGAUUCCAAUUGCAGAUUUGUUUGAGUGUACUGCAGGAAAUGAAACAUGCAUCCUUGUAUUGAAUCUUGAGAAUACUGUAGAUGUGGAAGGAUAGAUGUUGGGGGUUCGGAGUUGGCAAGGGAGGGAAGGAGCUAAUUUAAUAGAGUUGAUUACGUUAUGUUCGAUACUUGCAAGACUUCUGCCAAAGCUACUGUUUAAGCCCACGCUGGUUCCGUGUCUAAAAA